RNAcentral lists this ribosomal RNA (207 nucleotides) under uncultured Methylobacterium sp. Its description in RNAcentral is "partial 16S ribosomal RNA". It matches the Rfam family "Bacterial small subunit ribosomal RNA", at positions 568 to 774 of the family's 1533-position model. The record is from RNAcentral. Lineage: Bacteria; Pseudomonadati; Pseudomonadota; Alphaproteobacteria; Hyphomicrobiales; Methylobacteriaceae.
CGCGUAGGCGGCGUUUUAAGUCGGGGGUGAAAGCCUGUGGCUCAACCACAGAAUGGCCUUCGAUACUGGGACGCUUGAGUCUGGUAGAGGUUGGUGGAACUGCGAGUGUAGAGGUGAAAUUCGUAGAUAUUCGCAAGAACACCGGUGGCGAAGGCGGCCAACUGGACCAGUACUGACGCUGAGGCGCGAAAGCGUGGGGAGCAAACA